RNAcentral lists this ribosomal RNA (286 nucleotides) under uncultured bacterium. RNAcentral describes it as "partial 16S ribosomal RNA". It matches the Rfam family "Bacterial small subunit ribosomal RNA", at positions 30 to 334 of the family's 1533-position model. The record is from RNAcentral.
AUUGAACGCUGGCGGCAUGGCUAAAGCAUGCAAGUCGAACGAGAAGCACCUUCGGGUGUGGAAAGUGGCGAAAGGGCGAGUAAUGCGAUCGAAUGUACCCCGAGGUGGGGGAUAGCGUCGAGAAAUCGGCGGUAAUACCCCAUGUCCUCUACGGAGAAAAGGUUUACCGCCUUGGGAGCAGCGAUCGUCCUAUCAGGUAGUUGGUGAGGUAACGGCUCACCAAGCCGAAGACGGGUAGCGGGUGUGAGAGCAUGACCCGCCGCAUCGGAACUGAGACACUGUCCGG